RNAcentral lists this long non-coding RNA (1054 nucleotides) under Cicer arietinum (chickpea). RNAcentral describes it as "long non-coding RNA (CARI_LNC002568)". The stretch from base 383 to 607 matches the Rfam family "Plant small nucleolar RNA U3". Lineage: Eukaryota; Viridiplantae; Streptophyta; Magnoliopsida; Fabales; Fabaceae. The record is from RNAcentral.
UUAAUUUGGUGCAAACAGUAUCCAUCGAAAGCAGAAUUCUUCUGAGGUGAAAAUUGUUAUUUAAAAAGCACUCAGCUUUUAAUGGAAAUCUGCAUAAGAUAACUUGAAAAAUUGUAAAAUAAAUGACAAACCACUAAAUAUAAAAGCACUUUACAGACAUAAUCUUACCAAUCAUGGUAUAAAAAAAUUCCAAAGCAAGAGUAACUUGAACAGAAACAUGGUGUUAGUCCCACAUUGGUAGUUCCCCUAUAUAAUAAACCCAAAACCCCAAAUGAAUACACCAGAGCUGCUUUGUUAUAACGGAAACACCAUAUUAGUCCCACAUCGUUUGAGCUCGAAAAAACUCAAAUGUUUUUAUACCUGAACAUGAGCACCAUAGGCCACGAUCUUACUUGAACAGGAUCUGUUCUAUAGGAUUGUACUACUGUGUCCUUAAUUUCUAAGGAAACAGGAACCUAAGUCUGGUGGAUGAACCAUGACCGUGUGAUCAGAGCGUGAUUAACGGCGACGAUGAUCUCCAGUAUCUGGGCAUCAUCUUCCAGCUGUAGAGGAUCGUUCUCAGCCAGUGUCUACUGAUUGCGAUGGUCACGCGGUUGUCUGACAGAUUCGAUACUUUUUUAAAAAAUUCUUUCAUGUUUUCGACUUAACACAAAAAUGGAAUUUUUUUUCGACCAAAAAGAAAAUGGAAGCUUGUGGUUGUUUGUUAUACAAAACACAUGGAAAAUAAUAGCGGGGAAAAAGUAUAUUUUUUAGAAAGGAAUGGAAUUGUGUUUACCUUGCUUUCUUCCCAAAGAGAACAUUAAAGCUUCUUGUUGUUUGUGCUUUUAUGGUGUUCUUUUGGUUUCAUUCUUAACAAAAAGACCCAUCAUAGUGCCAAUACGAAUUUCGGUGAAAACGGGAAACGUUUAGGAGAAACUGGUUUGUUCUUUUCUUUUCCAUUGUUUGAGUUUUGGUAAAGUGCUUUAUUUCAGUUUGUGGAGUUGCCACGUAACUAUGUGUGAAAAGACUUUAACUUGUGACCCGUCUUCUUUCAUAAUGUAACACUAGGACAAAA